Metopolophium dirhodum (rose-grain aphid) is the source of this 2702-nucleotide long non-coding RNA. RefSeq lists it as uncharacterized. The transcript has 6 exons. The record is from RefSeq and is a predicted model, not a curated record. Lineage: Eukaryota; Metazoa; Arthropoda; Insecta; Hemiptera; Aphididae.
UUCAAAGUUAAUUAUAAAAUUAAAUCUUAAUUAAAAUAUACUCUGCUCAAAAAUUUAAAUAUUCAUUUUCCAAAUUCCUAGUACAAACUUUUUAUCACAUAUUUUAUUAUUUGAAUGUUCUUUAGAGUUUACACAUAGAUUUUUCCUUGUCUCUUAUUUAAACAAUUGGUUCAAAAGCCACCUCAAGGUGUUAUAACACAUGCCAUUUGUAAAUCCGUAACUAUUGAACAAGAUUUGUUGAUGUAUACAAUAAGAUGUAUAUAUGUAUAUAUAUAUAGUAUUAUUGUAUAAAUAUAAUUUAGCAAAUAAGUGAAUUAUUCCUCAGUCCAAUGAAGCUAAAAUGUGCUGAGGCAACACUUCAAUAUAUGUUGUGCAUAUAACACCGCUACAUGCACAGGCACGAGGCAGUCCCGCUGUCGUGGUGGAACUCGACGGGAGCGUAGAGGUUCGACGGUUGUACGCGGGUAAGCGACAACUGUAGCACGGACUAAGUGUUUUAUUUUAUCAAUAAGUGUUUCUGACCGAAAGUUGUGUUUUAAAGUUUUAUUUCAGGCUUUUGUCGUGAACAACACUUUUAGAAAAGGUAGCAAGACACUCUAGUACUUACUUAAUCACCCAGUACUCGUUAUCGUGAUCAGUCGAGAUUUGUCUGGGUUAAAGAGAUAUCACCCUAGGACAUCCAGUACUCGUUAUCGUAGUCAGUUGUUCGAGAGUAAAGUAACCUUAGAAUUGUAUAGUGUAAAUCCUGUUGGACCUCUGUUUAAUUAUCCUUUUGUGCAGUACUCGUUAUAUUGGUCACCAAAAGGAGCAUUAAAAUAACCUCAUACAGCCGGUGUCGAUAAUUUACUCGUUUGACGGUUAGAGAAUCGGAAACCGAAAUAUAUCUGUUAUAUACGCCAAGACUUUGCGUGGCGUAUACAAUAAUACUUAAUGAAUAUACUUUUUAUUUGUAUUUUUAUUCGAAAGAACUAAAUACUUCUUUUAAUUCUCGUGGUCUACUCCAAAUUCCAAUUACUAAUAUUUCGGAAUGAACUAUUUUAAAUGUUGUUUCUAAAAUAUUAUUUUAAAAUGUUUCUAACUUCUGACAAUUUACAUUAAGGUUUCGCCAAAAUACAAGCAGAUAACAGAAUGACUAAACACCAUAGAUAAUAUUAUAUAAGAUUAUAAUAAUCAUAAUAAUAAUCUAAAGCCGCGUCACGUAAGAUUUGGUGUGCGGCACGCUCGCUAUCCGUGGGCCUACGGAUCGCUUGCGCCGCAAGAAAUAUUUGCGGCGCAAAUUUUUAAACAAUGUAAUUUUGAUCAAGUGUGGACCCACCUUUAUAUUAUCUAUGCUAAACACCUGAAACCCCCGUCGGAUCAUCACUUCGACAUCGGUAAAAUUUAACGCCCGCCUCCGGCAAGAAAUCACCACCAAUUUAUUGAUAACCAUUGUGACUUAUCACUAUGUACCACAAACUGUAAUAGUAAUAAUUCUUAUCAAAUAAAUAACAACAUAACAAUAUUAUUUUUUUGUUUGCCGACGUUUGAAAUGUUUGAAUCACUCCCGAAUCGUGAUUAUUUGAAAUUUGAACGAAAAUACAGACUACAGCCGUGCAGAGUUCUAUUCAUACAUUUUAGUACAAAAUCACCAUGCAUAAGUGUAUUCUUUUUAGUAAAACAUCCAAAGUAUCGCCUAGCCACAUUACGUUAAUUUUCGUUUAUUUCCAAAAAGUCAAUGUAAUAGAAGAAAAUAAUGGGUCUUCGAAUUAAAUGAUUAUAUUCCGAUGUCUAUCUGGCAUAGAAUCUGCGGUAAUCAUUUCACAAUUAGUGAUUGUAAACAAUGUUCAGUAAACUAGUAAACAUGGCCAGAGACUAUCUCAAAACAUAAUCUAAACCACUUACCUGGGAUAGAGAAGUAAAAUAAAUUUUAGGAAUUUACAGCAACAUUGGUACUACUCUUGAGCACGACUAGUAAAUCGUAUCUAAGAGAAAAUUGUGUUUUUCCAACGAUGAAUUAGAAGAAAAUGAACAGACAAAUAAAUGAUUUGGAUGCCUUACAGUUGAUGAUUUUAAUUCCCCUAGAAAAGCCUUAGAAACUUAAUAAUGUCUAAUUUACACACACUUAUUUCAUACAAUGGAUUAUACCUACUUAUUAUGGUUUUCAAAACUGAAAUAUAUGAUGUACCACAUACAAGGAACUAGGAAGUUGAGCCAAAGUAUUGUCAAUAUUUCAGACGUUGAAUUUCUUGAAGAUAAUACUACCAACUCAGAUGAAGCCAUACAAUAUUGAAGCGAAUUAUGAAACUUAAAGGUUAUACAAUUUAGCUGAGCAAGAAUCCAAUUUUAAUAACACAGAGGACUUCAACAUAUUUAAAUUGCAAAGAAACACAUAACUAGUUUGGACAUUGGUAUCUUUUCUUACAUGAAAAUGAAUCUAGUUGGAUGAAUUAAACAGGUCAAGAAUCCCAUUAACAACGAGGAAAGACAAACUUCUUUGCAACUUCCGAAAAACUUGAGUCGCUGUUAUUAAAAUUCUUCAAGUAUCAACGAUGGACAUAAUUGAUGAAGACUUUUAAAUUAGGUAUAUUCUGAUAGGUACCUAUUUCCUUUAAUUUGUAAUUAUUUUUCCUAUGUUUGCCCCCACCACCCAUCAGAAAGUACUUAGUUACUUUAUUUAACUAAAAAAAAAACUAUACCUAUAAAUUGUGGAGUUAUGCUUGUGA